GUGUGUGAACAAAUCUCUUUCUCUUUCCCUCUAUUUGAUCUCACAAAUAUGCUUCAUUCUAAGGAUUUUAUGUUAUCUGAGACUAGCAUGCAAAAACUUGGUUGUGUGACGAUGAAAAGGACGGAUUCUCGGUACAAUUCACCGUGCAAGUCAUCAUAUUUCAUUGGCUCAAAUGAUAACUUUGUGGGAGACAAGAUUGUAGCAGAGACAUUUUGUCAUCUGCAUCAUUCAAGAUAAUUGCUUUAUUCUAUGGUAUGCUUCGAAUACAUUACUUUUCAAAUUGUAAAAAAUAUAUUAUUAUAGUGUUUUUUCAAAUGAUUUGCAUCACAUUAGGUUAUGCAUGCGAACAGUUUUGCCUGUGCAUUUUCAUUUAUCUCGGUCUAGUUAAUUUUGUCAUUGUUUUUAUUACGGCAAACUGAAUUGAGAUAAAAUUAUGAUUGUUUGUGCAUAAUAGAGUAUGUAAUUAAAUAUUAAUAAUACAUAGCAAAUUGUUACACGUUACAGAAUUACAAUAAUUAUAAAAAUAACGUAUUGUAUUUAUUUUAUACGUGACAAUACAUACUUAUUGAAUACAGUAUCGACGCUACACAUAGCUUAAGUACCUAGCUAAAGCAAUACUUAUACAUUUAAAUGCGUUUGUCAUAUAAUUUUGUAAAUAUAUCUGUAAAUAUAAUAUUUAAACUAAUAUAUAAAGCAACUAGUAUUUAAGUUUAUCUAUGUGUAUAGAUAUAUAUAUAUAUAUAUAUAUAUAUAU
Long non-coding RNA from Neodiprion fabricii, 754 nucleotides. RefSeq lists it as uncharacterized. The transcript is spliced from 2 exons. NCBI's taxonomy places the organism in Eukaryota, Metazoa, Arthropoda, Insecta, Hymenoptera, Diprionidae. The record is from RefSeq and is a predicted model, not a curated record.